This 588-nucleotide ribosomal RNA is filed under the name Bacillus cereus. RNAcentral describes it as "bacterial SSU rRNA". It matches the Rfam family "Bacterial small subunit ribosomal RNA", at positions 338 to 916 of the family's 1533-position model. Lineage: Bacteria; Bacillati; Bacillota; Bacilli; Caryophanales; Bacillaceae. The record is from RNAcentral. RNAcentral also lists the same sequence under 3 other names.
CCUACGGGAGGCAGCAGUAGGGAAUCUUCCGCAAUGGACGAAAGUCUGACGGAGCAACGCCGCGUGAGUGAUGAAGGCUUUCGGGUCGUAAAACUCUGUUGUUAGGGAAGAACAAGUGCUAGUUGAAUAAGCUGGCACCUUGACGGUACCUAACCAGAAAGCCACGGCUAACUACGUGCCAGCAGCCGCGGUAAUACGUAGGUGGCAAGCGUUAUCCGGAAUUAUUGGGCGUAAAGCGCGCGCAGGUGGUUUCUUAAGUCUGAUGUGAAAGCCCACGGCUCAACCGUGGAGGGUCAUUGGAAACUGGGAGACUUGAGUGCAGAAGAGGAAAGUGGAAUUCCAUGUGUAGCGGUGAAAUGCGUAGAGAUAUGGAGGAACACCAGUGGCGAAGGCGACUUUCUGGUCUGUAACUGACACUGAGGCGCGAAAGCGUGGGGAGCAAACAGGAUUAGAUACCCUGGUAGUCCACGCCGUAAACGAUGAGUGCUAAGUGUUAGAGGGUUUCCGCCCUUUAGUGCUGAAGUUAACGCAUUAAGCACUCCGCCUGGGGAGUACGGCCGCAAGGCUGAAACUCAAAGGAAUUGACGG